AUGAACUUUUUAAUAAUCCAAGGAGGGAGGAAAGCCCUCGGUCCCCUCGGCUCGGGGGGCGCCCAGCCCGGCUCUGCUCCCCGGGGGCGCCCCAUCACCCCCCUCCCACGUCCUCUGCGGACAGCUCUGAGGGGGCGCGCGCACCGCAGGGCCUCCUCCGGUCUCUGCGGCUGGGGUCCAUCUGACUGUCUGAGGCUUUGGAACAGAUUAUCGCAGCCCUUUCAGAGCGCGCACAACAAAUGCGCCCGCCAUCGAAUGCAGCAUUUACCACCGCAGAUCCGCGCGCCGAUGGGCAGGCAGAUAGCGUCCGCGGGGGGCUCGCCGGGCGGCGAGUGUGCGCCCCGGCUCUGCCCGGUGUGUUUGGAGGAACACGUGGGUAUGCCAGCGAGUGGACCCUCAGCAAGCAAGAAUGUGAGUGUGCGAAUGUUCCUGUAGAGUCUUCGGAAACAGGUCACGGUCGAGGCAAGAAUACAGAAUCUUAAACCAGUGAUGGGAGAAGCCAAGACCCAGCCAGGGGACAUCAGCACACAAAGAGUUCACCAGCCGUGUCCUGAAAUUGGGGGAAGAACACACAAAAUAUAAGAGUCAUGGUUUCCUGCUUCAAAGUUUAUACCCAACUAAACUAUCCACCAAGCAAAAUAAUAAAGAUACUUUCAGACUUGCAGGUUCUUAAAACAUUUGUCUUCCAUAUUACCCAGCUUCUGAAAUUCCUAGAGGAUAUGUUUGACCAUUAUGAGGCAGAAAGCCAAAAGAGGAAGGUCUGGCAUACCUGCGUGUGCUAGCUAGUUUUAUGUCUACUUGACACAAGCUAGACUCAAUGGAAAGGAAGGAACCUCAGUUGAAGAAAUGCUUCCAUAAGAUCUGACUGUAGGGUAUUUUCUUAUUAGUGAUUGAUGUGGGAGGGCCCAGUCCAUUGUGGUCCAGGGUUCUAUGAGAGAGCAGGCUGAGCAAGCCAUGAUGAGCAAGAUGGUAAGCAGCACCCUUCCAUGGCUUCUUCAUUAGCUCCUGCCUCCAGGUUCCUGCCCUGCUGGAGUUCCUGUUUUGACAUCUUUCAGUGAUGGACUAUGAUGUGGAAGUAUAAGCCACACAACCUUUUCCUCCUCAAAUUGCUUUUGGUCUUGUAUUGGUAACUAACUAAGACACUCUAAGAUAUUGGAGACACAGGCGUGUACCACACAGGGAAAGGAAGCCAGCAGAUGACCUUCUCUAGGUUGUAGCUGAGAAGAUGCAGUUUGUCCUGUUAGUCUUCUAGAUUCCAAACUUGUGGUUAGCAAAGAAAAACGCCCUACCAAAGAGAACAGGUCCAAGACAUCACCUUCAGAGGGCAGCCUGUUGGGAACGGGGAAAAAUUAGCUGUUUAUUCCAAACAGUUUAUGAUGACCUAACAAAGCAGUGCUCUCGUUGGGUGGGAGCCUUGGAGGAUGGGAGCAGGCACAGUUCUGGCAAAGUUCUCUUGAAACACAACUGAAAGCAGAAACUCAAGCUGUGGCCUGACAAGCCUUCAAAGAUAUGGAGGCUAGUAUUGUAUGAGCUUGUGUUCAAAUGCUUGUUUUAGGAACUCAGUUGGAAGGACUUCCCUUGCAAGAUUGAAGAGCUAAGUUUGAUCCCCAGAACCCACAUUUUAAAAAGCCAGGGAUGGGGGCUGGAGAGAUGGCUUGGCGGUUGCUUUUCCAGAGGACCCAGGUUCAAUUCCCAGCACCCAUAUGGCAGUUCACAACUGUCUAUAACUCCAGUUCCAGGGGAUCUGACACUUUCACACUAAUGCACAUGAAAUAAAUUUAAAUAAAUUCUUUUUUUAAGAUUUUAUUUAUUUAUUUAUUUAUUAUACAACAUUCUGCUUCCAUGUAUAUCUGCACACCAGAAGAGGGCACCAGAUCUCAUAAUGGAUAGUUGUGAGCCACCAUGUGGUUGCUGGGAAUUGAACUCAGGAACUCUGGAAGAGCAGGCAAUGCUCUUAACCUCUGAGCCAUCUCUCCAACCCCUUAAAUAAAUUCUAUAAAAAAAGAAAUCAUUAAAAAAAAGCCAAGGAUGGCACUUGUAACCCCUGGGGCUCAAUGACCAGUUACAGUCUUUUGUUGUUCACAACUGGACUCCAGCCCACGGCCACCUCCACAACUGUCCCAUCCAGAGCAGUGGUUCUCAACCUUCCUAAUGCUGAGACCCUUUAAUACAUUUCCUCAUGUUGUGGUGACACCUGACCAUAAAAUUAUUUCAUUGCUACUUCAUAACUGUAAUUUUUCUACUGUUAUGAAUUGAAAUGUAAAUAUUUUUGGAGAUGGAAGGUUGCCAAAGGGGGUCAUGGCCCACAGGUUGAGAAACACUGAUCUAGCAGCUCCUUGCUUUAGAGCACAGUGGACUAUCUCUGGGACCUUCCCCAUUUCCAGCUGGCUGGGAUAGGUGUGGUAGGUGGAGUCAGUGCACCAUGUAUCAUGAGAAAGUCUCCAAAUAAAAUGGCAAUAACAUGAGGCAGGAAGAAUCUGGGACUGUGUUACUGUGGGCACACAAGUCAGCCACAUCACCUCACACUCUACCCUGAGACAUAAACUAGCUUCACUCUGGUUUGGCUUACUGCCAUAUUUGUUCCGUUGGAUAUAACUGAGUCCUGUGGAUUAGGUGAGGACCAUGACUAUGGCUGCAUGGCCACAGGAGGAGACUCUAGGGGCAGGGCUCACUCUUCUUAUAGACUCUAGGAGUGGGGACCUUCCUCUCUGUCCCCUGGAUGUUCUUGUGAUGAUCAUGGAGUUGACACAGUCACGUUCCCAUUCAGGGGACCACUAAAAAAUGAUGAAAGGAAAUCCAGCAAAUCUGUCUGAGGGUGGAGAGGAACAGCCAGGAUGGAGGAGCAGAAUGACAUCCCCAACCUACUUCAUAAAAAAUGCCCAUGUCUGUCUCUGUGGCAUGGAACAGUAACUUCCCAGAGCCAGUCUGCCAGCUGUUGGUAAAGGAACCUUGUAAGUCCUACAGCUUGGAGACCCUGGUGGGCCGUGCUGGGCUCCCAGCUGCAGGCAGCUGUAGCACCUCAGUUUCCUCCCACUUGGGUGCAGGGGCUUUGGCUCCUCUGCAGUCUACAACCCUCUGCUACCUCCAGCCAGGCAAGCUGAGGCCCGCUGGCAUCUGCUCCUCCCCCAGGUCAGGGUUUAUCAGGCAUCUACUGUCCGUGAACUAUCCAACCCUCUGGACUCUGCUAGCUUAUCUGCAGAUAAGCUACUGUCUCUAACAGUCUCUAUACACGAUCUUCAUGUGAAUCAAAUCAGAUAAUGGAUUAUUUGAAAGCAGACUGUGCAGCUGACUUUACGGGAACGGGAAGUGAGUUUGUGAGGAUGAAUGAAUGAUCAACGUAUCUCUGUAAUCCGAGAACCUGAGACAGGGCCUAACACCAGGCAGAUGCUCUGUAAAUACAGGGGAAUGUGAGCUGUGACCAAUUAGGACCCUGAAAUUCCUUCAAGCCACAGAGAUUGACUGAUGGAUGGCAGAGCCCCAUCAAUAAACUGGUCAAGGUGAGUCCAGGGCUUUGUGCAGCUAGAAUGAGAUGAAGGCCCUACUCUGCACCCCACGACUGUAUGUGUGGCAUGCUGGAAUGACUGGAAUAAUGCCACACAAAUUGAGAGGAUUCCCAAGAAUAUUCCCCCAAAAGGAAACAGACCCCAACCACAGAAAAUAAAGCUUAUCUCUGAAGGCCCUGGAUCAAGCCACACCUAUAGUCUUCAGUUCUAUGUAGCCCUUCUUCAGUUCUUCCUUGAGAGGGUUUGUGACUCCUUGUUGAGUAACUGAAGGGCAUCAGUGAGCACAUGUCCUAGUUUGCUGCUGUUUGUUUGCUUGCUUGUUUGUUUGUUUUAGAUGCAGCCCCCCCCCCACCUCCGAGGCUGGCCUGUAACUCACUAUGCAGACCAGGCUGGCCUCAAACUCAUAGAGAUCCACCCCGCUUUGUCUCCCGAGUCUAAUUUUCUUUCUAUUCUGUGCUAAAACAUGACCAAAAACAACUUGGGGAGGAAAGGAUUUGUUUGGCUCAGACUUCCACAUCACACACAGCCUAUCACUGGGGGAAGUCAGGGCAGGAACUCAAGCAAGAGCAGAGACAGGAACCGUGGAGGGGGGCUGCUUACUGGCACACUCCUUCUGGCUUGCUUACCCUGCUUUCUUAUACAACCCAGGGCCGCCUGCCCAGGUAUGGCACCACCCACGCUGGAAUGGACCCUCCCACAUCAAUUGUUAAUCAAGAAAACACCCCUUGCAUACAGUCCAAACUGAUGGAGGCAAUCCCUCAGCUGAGAUUCCCUCUUCCCAGAGGACUCUAGCUUGUGUCAAGGUGACAAAACUAUUUAACCAGCACAGUGGUCCCUCUGUUCCUGUCCAUGGCAUCACUCCUGCUGCAUUGUGGGUAGGGAAGUGCUGGUGGCGGUCUUGGUUUUGCAUGGAGGUAGUUUCACAGGUGUCCCCUUUACUAUGGGAAUUAAAAGGUGACCAGAAGCCUUCCCUGCCCUUGGCAUACUAUAGAGAUUUCCAAAACAGACCAAUGCAGAGGUAUUUAGACUCAACCCAAGCUCUGUCAUGUGACAUGCCCUCAGGUCUCCUAGGGAUCUCGAUAGAGAAACCCUGAUGGGCACAAACCUGUCUAAGCCGUUCUCCUUCAAACCUGAGGGUGCCAUACCAGUUUCUUGCAGCCUACAAGACAUCCAGGACAUCACGGGCUGGAGCCGACCAACAUGGAGAGGCAGACACUCCCAGAUGGAACCGAACAUCCAUAUCCUGGGUCUGGUUGCUCUGUGGUCCAGCAGAUUCCCUGCUAGGUUGGCUCCCCAGAGAAGAGACUCCAAGAAAGUUCUGAAGCAGGCAUCUCUUUGGAAAGUGAAGGGGCAGGAUGAGCAGGGAAGGCUGGGGAGGGCUGGGGAGGGCUGGGGAGGGCUGGGGAGGGCUG
RNAcentral lists this long non-coding RNA (4915 nucleotides) under Cricetulus griseus (Chinese hamster). RNAcentral's name for it is "lncRNA (ENSCGRG00000024395.1)". Lineage: Eukaryota; Metazoa; Chordata; Mammalia; Rodentia; Cricetidae. The record is from RNAcentral.